Gymnogyps californianus (California condor) is the source of this 207-nucleotide small nucleolar RNA. RefSeq annotates it as small nucleolar RNA U3. Lineage: Eukaryota; Metazoa; Chordata; Aves; Accipitriformes; Cathartidae. The transcript has a single exon. The record is from RefSeq and is a predicted model, not a curated record.
ACAAUUAUUAUUAUUAUUAUUAUUAUAUUUCAUUAUUAUUAUUGUUAGUAUAGACCUGUAUUGCGUCACAAGCCAUGAGGAGGAGCGGGGUGUUCUCUCCUGAGCGUGAAGCGGGCGGGCGGUGCUGUCUGGGCAGGGGCCACCCAACACUGAUGACCAUUCCCGCCCCUCCGGAAGCUGGGAGGGAGAGAGCAUGGGCUGAGUGGU